ACUCCUACGGGAGGCAGCAGUGGGAAUAUUGCACAAUGGGAACGAGCAUGCAGCCAUGCCGCGUGUGUGAAGAAGGCCUUCGGGUUGUAAAGCACUUUCAGUAGGGAGGAAGGUAGUGUAGUUAACACCUGCAUUAUUUGACGUUACCUACAGAAGAAGCACCGGCUAACUCCGUGCCAGCAGCCGCGGUAAUACGGAGGGUGCGAGCGUUAAUCGGAAUUACUGGGCGUAAAGCGCAUGCAGGCGGCCUGUUAAGUCAGAUGUGAAAGCCC
This 272-nucleotide ribosomal RNA is filed under the name uncultured bacterium. RNAcentral describes it as "partial 16S ribosomal RNA". It matches the Rfam family "Bacterial small subunit ribosomal RNA", at positions 335 to 603 of the family's 1533-position model. The record is from RNAcentral.